GGCAAGAUGGCCGAGCGGUCUAAGGCGCCGCACUCAAGUUACUCUUGCCCGCUCCUGGGCUUACUUGCGGUCUCGAGAGAGGCGUGGGUUCAAAUCCCACUCUUGUCA
Molecule: non-coding RNA, 108 nt
Organism: Roridomyces roridus
Lineage: Eukaryota; Fungi; Basidiomycota; Agaricomycetes; Agaricales; Mycenaceae
Source: the annotation of a GenBank genome assembly